This 377-nucleotide ribosomal RNA is filed under the name uncultured bacterium. RNAcentral describes it as "bacterial SSU rRNA". It matches the Rfam family "Bacterial small subunit ribosomal RNA", at positions 523 to 898 of the family's 1533-position model. The record is from RNAcentral.
AUACGUAGGUGGCGAGCGUUGUCCGGAUUUACUGGGCGUAAAGGAUGCGUAGGCGGAUGUUUAAGUGAGAUGUGAAAUCCCCGGGCUUAACUUGGGGGCUGCAUUUCAAACUGGAUAUCUAGAGUGCGGGAGAGGAGAAUGGAAUUCCUAGUGUAGCGGUGAAAUGCGUAGAGAUUAGGAAGAACACCAGUGGCGAAGGCGAUUCUCUGGACCGUAACUGACGCUGAGGCAUGAAAGCGUGGGUAGCAAACAGGAUUAGAUACCCUGGUAGUCCACGCUGUAAACGAUGAAUACUAGGUGUGGGAGGUAUCGACUCCUUCCGUGCCGCAGUUAACACAAUAAGUAUUCCGCCUGGGAAGUACGAUCGCAAGAUUAAA